RNAcentral lists this long non-coding RNA (3820 nucleotides) under Equus caballus (horse). Its description in RNAcentral is "lncRNA (ENSECAG00000058457.1)". The record is from RNAcentral. Lineage: Eukaryota; Metazoa; Chordata; Mammalia; Perissodactyla; Equidae.
UAUGAGGUGCAUCCAUUUAUCUAUUUGUGGAUACUUGGGCUGUUUCCAGCUUUUGGCUAUUAUGAAAUGCUGCUGUGAACGUGUGUACAUGUAUUUGAGUACUAGUUUCCAGUUCUUUUGGAUAUAUACUUAAGAGUGGAACCAACUGGGUCAAAUGGUAAUUCUAUGUUUAAUUUUUUGAGGAACUGCCAAACUUUCACAGCUGAAGCAUUUUACAUUCCCAUCAGCAAUGCGUGAGGGUUCCAAUUUUUCUACAUCAUUACCAACACUUGUUAUUUCCUAUUUUUAAAAAUUAUAGCCAUUCUAGUGAAUGUGAAGUGGUACCUCAUUGUGGUUAUUUGCGUUUUCCUGACGACUAAUGAUACCGAGCAUCUUUUCAUGUGUUUCUUGGCCAUUUGUAUAUCUUCUAUGGAGAAAUGUUUGUUAAGUCCUUUGCCUAUUUUUCAGUUCGGUUGUUUGUCUUUUUGUUGUUGAGUUGUAAAAGUUCUUUAUAUAUUCUGGAUACUAAACCCUUACUCGAUAGUACAUGAUUUGCAAAUAUUUUCUGCCAUUUUGUAGGUUGUCUUUUCACUUCUUGAUGAUGUUCUUUGAUAACACAAACAUUUUUAAUUUUGAAAUCCAGUUUUAUCUAUUUUUUCUUUUGUUGCCAUAUCUAAGAAUCCAUUACCAAAUCCAAGGUCAUUAAGAUUUUCUCCUGUUUUCUUCUAAGAGUUUUUAUGGUUUUAGCUCUUGUAAUUAGGUUGUUGAUCAAUUUUGAGUUAAUUUUUGUACAUGGUGUGAGGUAGGAAUCCAACUUCAUUCCUUUGCGUAUGGAUAUCCAGUUGUCCCAGCACUGUUUGCUGAAGAGACUGUUCUUUCACCUGCUACUCUUUGACACUGCUACAUCCUCUAAUGGUAGUCAGUGCUAGGACCCAAGUCCAGCUGCGAUGCAUCAACCCCAUAGCUGUAUGGGUUGCAGUUCUAAGAGGUGACCGCCUUGUCCUCAUCUGAUCUCUUUUGUCACACACCUUAAGGUGAGUCAGUGCUACCUCGUUACCAUACAGCUCCCAGCAGUGAAUAGAUAUCCCAUGAACAGCUAUGUUGGCUGUCAACGUUGAGAUGGCUUUUAGCUAUCACAUGGAUUUUUUUCCCCUCCAAGUAACUUCAGUCAAGUGUUGUGAAAAGUACAUUGUCUAAAUAGAAAAAUAGGACUUAGAACACCAGCCAAAAAUAAUCUCUACCAUAUUUCUUCCCUGGGAAACCCUCCCCCCAGAGAUUUUCACCUACAUGUCAUUGGUCAGAACUGUGUCAAAAUGCUACCCUUCGUGGCCAAUGAGUCUGGGAAAGUAGUUAUUUUGCUUUCUAGCCUCUAUAUAUAGAGAAGGCAGGGGAGAAGAUGAUUCAGAAUGAAUGCGGAAUGAGCCAUUCAAUAGUGUCUGCCACAGAGACAGACCUGUCCAAGGGUGUUUACAAUCUAGUGUUACUGUUUGUGUGCCUGGUAAGUAAAUUAAAAAAAUUGGUCUGUUGCUAUUCCAUGGUCAAAUAAGCUCUUGUUAAGAUCCUCUAAUACAAGCAUACUAUAAUUUUUAGUCAGUAAAGGCUAGAAUCAGUAUACUUACAUCUGACCUGAUUGUUGAAACUGGGACAUCUUUUUUUUUUUAAACCUUAGGGAGAGUCAGAGAAGGCCCUGGAAGUGGAGAUGGGGAUAAAAGCUUCAAACUGCACCUGUCUCUUCUCACUAUUUUGAAACAAAUGAAAAAAAUUAAAGAUUUAGUAGCAUUCAUUAAUUAAUUCAUUCAAUAACAUAAUUAUUAUAUGCUGGGGGUGCUAAGAACUUGAAUUUCCAAGCCUGAGUUGUGUUUGCAGCUUCGCCGUGCACUAACUGGGUGUGUAACAUCAGAUGUUGCACUUUGACUUGAUUGAAAACCAUUUUCAUGUACAUUGUCACUGAAUUCUCAUAACACUUGUUCGGUCGAGAGGUAGGUGAAGAGGUUUAGUCAUCUUCACAAGGUCACACAGCUGGUAAGUGGCAAAGCUGGGAUUAUAUACCAGUCUAUCUGAUACUCAAGCUUGUGCUUUUCCCCACUAUACUAGUGUGACUAUUACCUAGACGUAAUUGGUGUAUUAAGAUUGUCGGGUAAUAUUCUGUAACAGCUUCCUUUCCCACAAAUCACUGAGAUUUGGGCUCACGUGGGUAUAAAGUGCCUUCAGAGGUGAGAAUGCUCAUGUAGGGAAGAGCAUAAUAGUGGCUGGAUCUACUGAAUGUGUACAUUGUAGUACAAUUAGCUCUGUCACUCAGGUGGGCUGAGGAGACCAGAGCUUGAUGUAAACAGACUGGCUCUUUCUGACAGUCUGAAGAAGAGGGCUCCAACAUCAGGGAAAGCGGGAGCUUAAGGAAGCAUACAGAGUUCUGUGUUUUCUGGAUAGAAAAAAGCAAAAUUCAAGGAAGUCCUCUGAGGAAAAUGGCAGGUGAUAACUAGUUGAGGCUGAUUUGAACUAGCAGAAUAGUUCUGAGUUGAAGCCUAGGGACUCAGGGCCCACACACAUAGCCUGGUUUCUCCGAGAACCAAAGUUGCUGAGAAAAAUUAUGCAGCCUGAGCUCGGGGUUCUGUUACACUGUGGAUAAGAGCCAAACUCUUUAGAACCACCUGUUAGGGUCUUCAUGAUCUCACCUUUGGUAGCCUUCUAACCUCUUCUUCCACUUUCUCACAUAGAUGCUAGAUUCCAACCCCCAAACCCAAAAUUCCUCAGGUGCCACUUUUGCUUUUUGCACCUGUGUUUGGCCCUAUUAGUCUUCUCUGCCUGAAAUGCUUCUGUCCAUCUAAUGAAUUGUAUUUUCAAGUGUCAGCCCAAAUUUCACUGAUUCUGGCCCCCAGACCACGCCAUGCUUCUGUAGCAUCUUGUAAUUAUAUUAUAGUGGUUGCCAUGUUGCUUUGGAAUGAUCUGUGUCUGUGUCAGAUACUAUAGUUUGGCUCAUUCAACAUGCAUUUCCAGCCAUCUUAUAUUCCUCUAUGUAGAAAUCAGUAAACAAGAUAAUAGUAGUUGCUUUCCUAGACUUCUUUGCAGCCAGCAGUGGCCACGUGACACAAUUUUGGACAAUGAGAUAUGGAUCAAAUUUCCUGGGCAGAGCUUCCUAGGAUGAAAGCAAAGGCUUUUGGCUUUUCCCCCUCCUGCUUAGAAGGGAGAUCCAGGGGCUGGCCCUGUGGCCGAGUGGUUGGCCCCGUGGUCGAGUGGUUAAGUUCGCAUGCUCUGGUUCAGCGGCCCAGGGUUUCGCCAGUUUGGAUCCUGGGCACAGACAUGGCACUGCUCAUUAGGCUAUGCUGAGGUGACGUCCUACAUGCCACAACUAGAAGGACCCACAGCUAAAAUAUACAACUAUGUACUGGGGGAUUUGGGAAGAAAAAAAAAAGAUUGGCAACAGAUGUUAGCUCAGGCGCCAAUGUUUAAAAAAAAAAAAAAAGGCAGAUGCAAUGUUGGGAGAUAAAGCAACUGUAUUGCAACCAGGAGGAAGAAGGUUUAAGAUGGGUCGUGAAGAAUAAAGUCACCUGGCUCCUUGAUGACAACUUUGAGUGGCUAUACCAGUUCUUCACUGUCUUCCUGUGGACGUCCUCAGAUGUGAAAAACAUAAACUGUUUAUGUGUUAGCCCUGUUUGUCUAGACUGCUGUUGGUGAGGUUUUGCUAUUUGUAUCUGAAAGCAUUCCUACCCCUACUGGGUCCUUAAAAUCCUUUGGAACUUGGAGCUGUGUUUUACUCAUUGGUGUAUUCCCAGGGCCUAGCAUAGGUACAUAAAAUGUUUGUGGAAUGAAGAAUAAAAUGGAUUUAGCAGAGAGCUGCGUAGGA